UUAAUGGAGAGUUUGAUCCUGGCUCAGGAUGAAUGCUGGCGGCAUGCCUAAUACAUGCAAGUCGAGCGGUAGCAUGGCUUCACCGUUCUCUUGACACACUUGGCUUUAUGCGAGUGGUAAGAUUCGAGGGAACUGUGAAGCUGAUGACGAGCGGCGGACGGCUGAGUAACGCGUGAGAACAUACCCCAAAGUGAGGGAUAACUAGUCGAAAGAUUAGCUAAUACCGCAUGUGAUCUUUGGAUUAAAGCAUUUAUGCGCUUUGGGAAUGGCUUGCGUACGAUUAGAUAGUUGGUGAGGUAAAGGCUCACCAAGUCGACGAUCGUUAGAUGGUUUGAGAGGAUGAUCAUCCAGACUGGGACUGAGACACGGCCCAGACUCCUACGGGAGGCAGCAGUAGGGAAUCUUUCACAAUGGGCGAAAGCCUGAUGGAGCAAUGCCGCGUGCAGGACGAAGGCCUUCGGGUUGUAAACUGCUUUUAUAAGCGAGAAAUAUGAUGGUAACUUAUGAAUAAGGAUCGGCUAACUACGUGCCAGCAGCCGCGGUCAUACGUAGGAUCCGAGCAUUAUCCGGAGUGACUGGGUGUAAAGAGUUGCGUAGGUGGCAAGGUAAGUAGAUAGUGAAAUCUGGUGGCUCAACCAUUCAGACUAUUAUCUAAACUAUCUAGCUCGAGACUGUUAUGGGUAACUGGAAUUUCUAGUGUAGGAGUGAAAUCCGUAGAUAUUAGAAGGAACACCGAUAGCGUAGGCAGGUUACUGGGACAGUUCUGACACUAAGGCACGAAAGCGUAGGGAGCAAACGGGAUUAGAUACCCCGGUAGUCUACGCCGUAAACGAUGGAUACUAGCAGUUUUGGGUAUCGACCCCCGGAGUUGCGAAGCUAACGCGUUAAGUAUCCCACCUGUGUAGUACGAUCGCAAGAUUAAAACAUAAAGGAAUUGACGGGGACCCGCACAAGCGGUGGAGCGUGAUCUUUAAUUCGAUGGUAAACGAUAAACCUUACCAAGGCUUGACAUCCGAUGUAGGCUCUCGAAAGAGAACUGUGCCUUCGGGAACAUCGAGACAGGUGAUGCAUGGCCGUCGUCAGCUCGUGUCGUGAGAUGUUUGGUUAAGUCCAUCAACGAGCGCAACCCUUGCAACCAGUUGUAUUUUUCUGGUAGGACUGCCCCGGUAACGGGGAGGAAGGAGGGGAUGAUGUCAGGUCAGUAUUUCCCUUACGCCUUGGGCUAGAAUCGCGCUACAAUGGCUGGUACAAUGCGAAGCGAAGCAGUGAUGUGAAGCAAAUCGCACCAAAGCCAGUCCCAGUUCGGAUAGAAGGCUGAAACUCGCCUUCUUGAAGUCGGAAUCGCUAGUAAUCGCAGAUCAGCAUGUUGCGGUGAAUACGUUCCCGGGUCUUGUACACACCGCCCGUCAAACCAUGAGAGUCACCAACACCCGAAGUCCGCCUCGGCGGCCUAAGGUGGGGGAGAUGAUUGGGGUUAAGUCGUAACAAGGCAUCGGUACGAGAACGUGUCGAUGGAUUACCUCCUUUCUA
Molecule: ribosomal RNA, 1530 nt
Filed under: TM7 phylum sp. oral taxon 351
Lineage: Bacteria; Candidatus Saccharimonadota
Description: bacterial SSU rRNA
Rfam family: Bacterial small subunit ribosomal RNA
Source: RNAcentral